This 497-nucleotide ribosomal RNA is filed under the name uncultured bacterium. Its description in RNAcentral is "partial 16S ribosomal RNA". It matches the Rfam family "Bacterial small subunit ribosomal RNA", at positions 28 to 507 of the family's 1533-position model. The record is from RNAcentral.
GAUGAACGCUGGCGGCGUGCCUAAUACAUGCAAGUCGAGCGAACAGACGAGGAGCUUGCUCCUCUGACGUUAGCGGCGGACGGGUGAGUAACACGUGGAUAACCUACCUAUAAGACUGGGAUAACUUCGGGAAACCGGAGCUAAUACCGGAUAAUAUAUUGAACCGCAUGGUUGAAUAGUGAAAGACGGUAUUGGUGACACUUAUAGAUGGAUCCGCGCCGCAUUAGCUAGUUGGUAAGGUAACGGCUUACCAAGGCAACGAUGCGUAGCCGACCUGAGAGGGUGAUCGGCCACCCUGGAACUGAGACACGGUCCAGACUCCUACGGGAGGCAGCAGUAGGGAAUCUUCCGCAAUGGGCGAAAGCCUGACGGAGCAACGCCGCGUGAGUGAUGAAGGUCUUCGGAUCGUAAAACUCUGCUAUUAGGGAAGAACAAAUGUGUAAGUAACUAUGCACGUCUUGACGGUACCUAAUCAGAAAGCCACGGCUAACUACGUG